GACGAACGCUGGCGGCGUGCUUAACACAUGCAAGUCGAGCGAACAGGCCCUGAUUUUGUGGGGUGCUCGAGAGGCGAACGGGUGAGUAACACGUGAGUAACCUGCCCUUAACUGUGGGAUAACUUCAGGAAACUGGGGCUCAUAUCCGAGAGGAGCUCCUGCUGCAUGGUGGGGGUUGGUAAGUUUCGGCGGUUCUGGCUGGACUGGAGGGUUAUCAGCUGGUUGGGGGGGUAGGGGCUUACCAAGGCUUUGACGGGUAGCCGGCCUGAGAGGGUGAACGGCGACAAUGGUACUGAGAUACGGACCAGACUCCUACGGGAGGCAGUAGUGGGGAGUAUUGCACAAUGGGCGGGAGCCAGAGGCAGCAACGCCGCGAGCGGGAUGACCGCCUUCGGGUGGUAAACCGAUUUGGCCUGUGCCGAAGCGGGAGUGACGGUAAUGGGUAAAGAAGCCACGGCUAACUACGUG
This 468-nucleotide ribosomal RNA is filed under the name uncultured bacterium. RNAcentral describes it as "partial 16S ribosomal RNA". It matches the Rfam family "Bacterial small subunit ribosomal RNA", at positions 28 to 507 of the family's 1533-position model. The record is from RNAcentral.